ACCAACAAAAAUCGUGAUUUGCCUGCUUGCCGCGAUUCAAAAUAAAGCGCUAAAAAGGGAGAAAUUUCCUAGGG
This 74-nucleotide non-coding RNA is filed under the name marine actinobacterium K362. Lineage: Bacteria; Bacillati; Actinomycetota; Actinomycetes. The record is from RNAcentral.